RNAcentral lists this ribosomal RNA (149 nucleotides) under Clostridia bacterium. RNAcentral describes it as "partial 23S ribosomal RNA". It matches the Rfam family "Bacterial large subunit ribosomal RNA", at positions 2775 to 2925 of the family's 2925-position model. The record is from RNAcentral. Lineage: Bacteria; Bacillati; Bacillota; Clostridia.
AGGCAUCUAAGCGUGAAGCCCACCUCAAGAAUAAGAUUCCCAUUCGAAAGAAGUAAGACCCCUGGAGGACUACCAGGUAGAUAGGUCAUCGGUGGAAGUGUGGUAACACAUGUAGCUUGAUGAUACUAAUAGGUCGAGGGCUUGAUUUA